This 494-nucleotide ribosomal RNA is filed under the name uncultured bacterium. RNAcentral describes it as "partial 16S ribosomal RNA". It matches the Rfam family "Bacterial small subunit ribosomal RNA", at positions 28 to 507 of the family's 1533-position model. The record is from RNAcentral.
GACGAACGCUGGCGGCGUGCUUAACACAUGCAAGUCGAACGGUGAAGCGCCUUCCUUUUUGGUGGGUGUGGAUGAGUGGCGAACGGGUGAGUAACACGUGAGUAACCUGCCCCCUUCUUCUGGAUAACCGCAUGAAAGUGUGGCUAAUACGGGAUAUUCUGGGUCUGUCGCAUGAUGGGUCUGGGAAAGAUAUUGUUUCGGUGGGGGAUGGGCUCGCGGCCUAUCAGCUUGUUGGUGGGGUGAUGGCCUACCAAGGCGGUGACGGGUAGCCGGCCUGAGAGGGUGGAUGGUCACACUGGGGCUGAGACACGGCCCAGACUCCUACGGGAGGCAGCAGUGGGGAAUAUUGCACAAUGGGCGCAAGCCUGAUGCAGCGACGCCGCGUGAGGGAUGGAGGCCUUCGGGUUGUGAACCUCUUUCGCCAGUGAAGCAGGCCUGCCUCGUUUGUGGGUGGGUUGACGGUAGCUGGAUAAGAAGCGCCGGCUAACUACGUG